Molecule: ribosomal RNA, 670 nt
Filed under: marine sponge bacterium LIQUIDdw12A01
Lineage: Bacteria
Description: bacterial SSU rRNA
Rfam family: Bacterial small subunit ribosomal RNA
Source: RNAcentral
UGAGUAACGCGUGGGAACCUACCUUUUGGUACGGGACAACCAAUGGAAACGUUGGCUAAUACCGUAUACGUCCCCUUUAGCGGGAGCUUUAGGGGAGAAAGAUUUAUCGCCGAGAGAUGGGCCCGCGUCCGAUUAGUUAGUUGGUGGGGUAAUGGCCUACCAAGACGUCGAUCGGUAGCUGGUCUGAGAGGAUGAUCAGCCACACUGGGACUGAGACACGGCCCAGACUCCUACGGGAGGCAGCAGUGGGGAAUAUUGGACAAUGGGCGCAAGCCUGAUCCAGCCAUGCCGCGUGAGUGAAGAAGGCCCUAGGGUUGUAAAGCUCUUUCACCCGCGAAGAUAAUGACGGUAGCGGGAGAAGAAGCCCCGGCUAACUCCGUGCCAGCAGCCGCGGUAAUACGGAGGGGGCAAGCGUUGUUCGGAAUUACUGGGCGUAAAGGGCGCGUAGGCGGUCUGUUGCGUCAGGUGUGAAAGCCCUGGGCUCAACCUAGGAUGUGCACUUGAUACGGGCAGGCUAGAAUCCGGNAGAGGAUGGUGGAAUUCCCAGUGUAGAGGUGAAAUUCGUAGAUAUUGGGNAGAACACCGAUGGCGAAGGCNGCCAUCUGGACCGGUAUUGACGCUGAGGCGCGAAAGCGUGGGGAGCAAACNGGAUUAGAUACCCUGGUAGUCC